This 479-nucleotide ribosomal RNA is filed under the name uncultured bacterium. RNAcentral describes it as "bacterial SSU rRNA". It matches the Rfam family "Bacterial small subunit ribosomal RNA", at positions 330 to 801 of the family's 1533-position model. The record is from RNAcentral.
UGCGAACUCCUACGGGAGGCAGCAGUGGGGAAUUUUGGACAAUGGGGGCAACCCUGAUCCAGCAAUGCCGCGUGAGUGAAGAAGGCCUUCGGGUUGUAAAGCUCUUUUGUCAGGGAAGAAACGGUAGUAGCUAAUAUCUAUUACUAAUGACGGUACCUGAAGAAUAAGCACCGGCUAACUACGUGCCAGCAGCCGCGGUAAUACGUAGGGUGCAAGCGUUAAUCGGAAUUACUGGGCGUAAAGCGUGCGCAGGCGGUUGUGUAAGUCAGAUGUGAAAUCCCCGGGCUCAACCUGGGAAUUGCAUUUGAGACUGCACGGCUAGAGGGUAGCAGAGGGGGGUAGAAUUCCACGUGUAGCAAUGAAAUUCGUAGAUAUGUGGAGGAAUACCGAUGGCGAAGGCAGCCCCCUGGGAUAACACUGACGCUCAUGCACGAAAGCGUGGGGAGCAAACAGGAUUAGAAACCCUGGUACUCCAGAUG